CACAUGCAAGUCGAGGGGCAGCAUCAUUAAAGCUUGCUUUGAUGGAUGGCGACCGGCGCACGGGUGAGUAACACGUAUCCAACCUGCCGACAACACUGGGAUAGCCUUUCGAAAGAAAGAUUAAUACCGGAUGGCAUAGUCUUCCCGCAUGGGAUGACUAUUAAAGAAUUUCGGUUGUCGAUGGGGAUGCGUUCCAUUAGGCAGUUGGCGGGGUAACGGCCCACCAAACCAACGAUGGAUAGGGGUUCUGAGAGGAAGGUCCCCCACAUUGGAACUGAGACACGGUCCAAACUCCUACGGGAGGCAGCAGUGAGGAAUAUUGGUCAGUGGACGAGAGUCUGAACCAGCCAAGUAGCGUGAAGGAUGACUGCCCUAUGGGUUGUAAACUUCUUUUAUACGGGAAUAAAGUGAGCCACGUGUGGCUUUUUGUAUGUACCGUAUGAAUAAGGAUCGGCUAACUCCGUGCCAGCAGCCGCGGUAAUACGGAGGAUCCGAGCGUUAUCCGGAUUUAUUGGGUUUAAAGGGAGCGUAGGCGGGUUGUUAAGUCAGUUGUGAAAGUUUGCGGCUCAACCGUAAAAUUGCAGUUGAUACUGGCGACCUUGAGUGCAACAGAGGUAGGCGGAAUUCGUGGUGUAGCGGUGAAAUGCUUAGAUAUCACGAAGAACUCCGAUUGCGAAGGCAGCUUACUGGAUUGUAACUGACGCUGAUGCUCGAAAGUGUGGGUAUCAAACAGGAUUAGAUACCCUGGUAGUCCACACAGUAAACGAUGAAUACUCGCUGUUGGCGAUAUACGGUCAGCGGCCAAGCGAAAGCAUUAAGUAUUCCACCUGGG
This 832-nucleotide ribosomal RNA is filed under the name uncultured bacterium. RNAcentral's name for it is "bacterial SSU rRNA". It matches the Rfam family "Bacterial small subunit ribosomal RNA", at positions 52 to 877 of the family's 1533-position model. The record is from RNAcentral.